GGCUUGGGUUCUUGGAGAGAGAAGGAUGUCUGCUUCAACUUGGCAAGCCUGAGCAGGGAUCUGUUACUGCUUUGUAGGUUCCUUCCAAGAUAGCAAAAAGAGAUAAUUAAUGUGAAACAGGAUGCUUUAAUAAACAAAAGAAGAAUGCAGCAAAUUUUGCAAAGGCCCUGAUUCAGAUAUUUGGACUUCUGCGAUACUUAGCAAAAACUCUGCCUCCAUGGAGCUACAUUUUAGAAGGACAGACAGACUGCAGCUGCAGCUGUGGGGAUGGCUCCCACUCGUGAUGUCACCUCCCGCCUGACAACACGGCUUGCCUGUGACUUCCUCUGCUGCUGGGCCCUGGACCACCCCUUGGCUUCCAGACAGUGCAGACUGGAAGAACGGGCAGCCUUCGAGCUGCGGGCACCCAGAUGUCAGCAUCAACACUCAUCUCUCCAAAGGACCAUCUCCCGAAGGGUCAUAUGAGUCUCCUUGCCUUGCUCCACCUCCUGCUUCUUGGACUCACGCCUCAGACACAUUCUCAGAGCCGGCUUUCAGGGGUAUUUAAGUAAGGAU
Molecule: long non-coding RNA, 555 nt
Organism: Tupaia belangeri chinensis (Chinese tree shrew)
Lineage: Eukaryota; Metazoa; Chordata; Mammalia; Scandentia; Tupaiidae
Exons: 5
Source: RefSeq, a predicted model, not a curated record